ACUCCUACGGGAGGCAGCAGUGGGGAAUAUUGCACAAUGGGCGCAAGCCUGAUGCAGCAACGCCGUGUGAGUGAAGUAAGGUUUUCGGAUACGUAAAACUCUGUACCGUAAAGGGAAAGAAAAAAUGACGGUACCUUAGGGAGGAACGCCCCGGCUAACUACGUGCCAGCAGCCGCGGUAAGUACGGUAGGGGGCAAGCGUUAUCCGGAAUCACGUGGGCGUAAAGGGUGCGUAGGCGGCUUAGCAAGCCGAGGGGUGAAAGGCAUUGGCUCAACCAAUGUAAGCCUUUGGAACUGUUAAGCUUGAGUGCAGGAGAGGUAAGUGGAAUUUCCUAGUGUAGAGGUGAAAUUCGUAGAUAUUAGGAGGAACACAGUGGCGAAGGCGACUUACUGGACUGUAACUGACGCUGAUGCACGAAAGCGUGGGUAAGCGAACAGGAUUAGAUACCCUGGUAGGUCAGUC
This 462-nucleotide ribosomal RNA is filed under the name uncultured bacterium. RNAcentral describes it as "bacterial SSU rRNA". It matches the Rfam family "Bacterial small subunit ribosomal RNA", at positions 335 to 800 of the family's 1533-position model. The record is from RNAcentral.